UUUGUCUCCUGCCUUGCCUUUAUUUGCACGAUGGAUUACCCUCAGGGGUUUCUUGUUUCUGGCAGUGGUGAUUCUACAGUUCGCUUGUGGGAUAUUACAUCUGGGUUUCUUCUUGAUACUUGUGAAGUUGGUGCUAAGGCAGGACUUCUAGAGUCCAAUAGAAGUGAUGAGGGCUGUUCUACUGUCUCUGAUCUGUGCAUAAUUCUAGA
RNAcentral lists this unclassified non-coding RNA (209 nucleotides) under Hevea brasiliensis (rubber tree). Lineage: Eukaryota; Viridiplantae; Streptophyta; Magnoliopsida; Malpighiales; Euphorbiaceae. The record is from RNAcentral.